GGGGAAUUUUCCGCAAUGGGCGAAAGCCUGACGGAGCAAUACCGCGUGAGGGAGGAAGGCUCUUGGGUUGUAAACCUCUUUUCUCAGGGAAUAAAAARAUGAAGGUACCUGAGGAAUAAGCAUCGGCUAACUCCGUGCCAGCAGCCGCGGUAAUACGGAGGAUGCAAGCGUUAUCCGGAAUGAUUGGGCGUAAAGCGUCCGCAGGUGGCUAUGUAAGUCUGCUGUUAAAGAGCAAGGCUCAACCUUGUAAAGGCAGUGGAAACUACAUAGCUAGRGUGCGUUCGGGGCAGAGGGAAUUCCUGGUGUAGCGGUGAAAUGCGUAGAUAUCAGGAAGAACACCGGUGGCGAAAGCGCUCUGCUAGGCCGCAACUGACACUGAGGGACGAAAGCUAGGGGAGCGAAUGGGAUUAGAUACCYCAGUAGUCCUAGCCGUAAACGAUGGAUACUAGGCGUUGCUUGUAUCGACCCGAGCAGUGCCGUAGCUAACGCGUUAAGUAUCCCGCCUGGGGAGUACGCACGCAAGUGUGAAACUCAAAGGAAUUGACGGGGGCCCGCACAAGCGGUGGAGUAUGUGGUUUAAUUCGAUGCAACGCGAAGAACCUUACCARGGCUUGACAUGUCGCGAAUCUCCUUGAAAGGGGAGAGUGCCUUCGGGAGCGCGAACACAGGUGGUGCAUGGCUGUCGUCAGCUCGYGUCGUGAGAUGUUGGGUUAAGUCCCGCAACGAGCGCAACCCUCRUUUUUAGUUGCCAGCACUUCGGGUGGGCACUCUAGAGAGACUGCCGGUGACAAACCGGAGGAAGGUGGGGAUGACGUCAAGUCAGCAUGCCCCUUACGCCUUGGGCUACACACGUACUACAAUGCUACGGACAGAGGGCAGCAAGCAUGCGAAUGCAAGCUAAUCCCGGAAACCGUAGCUCAGUUCAGAUCGCAGGCUGCAACUCGCCUGCGUGAAGGAGGRAUCGCUAGUAAUUGCAGGUCAGCAUACUGCAGUGAAUUCGUUCCCGGGCCUUGUACACACCGGCCCGUCACACCAUGGAAGCUGGUCACGCCCGAAGUCGUUACCCCAACCCUUGUGGAGGGGGAUGCCUAAGGCAGGACUGGUGACUGGGGUGAAGUCGUAACAAGGUAGCCGUACCGGAAGGUGUGGCUGGAUCACCUCCU
Molecule: ribosomal RNA, 1163 nt
Filed under: Cylindrospermum majus
Lineage: Bacteria; Bacillati; Cyanobacteriota; Cyanophyceae; Nostocales; Nostocaceae
Also listed under: 1 other name
Description: 16S ribosomal RNA
Rfam family: Bacterial small subunit ribosomal RNA
Source: RNAcentral